Molecule: long non-coding RNA, 16530 nt
Organism: Anolis carolinensis (green anole)
Lineage: Eukaryota; Metazoa; Chordata; Lepidosauria; Squamata; Anolidae
Exons: 2
Source: RefSeq, a predicted model, not a curated record
CCACUCAGAAUUCCAGUCCUGGGAGAAAUCUGGAGUACAUUGCUAUUCUUGAUUAGCAAUAUACUCCGGAUUUCUCCCUGGGUUGGAGGCCUUAGUGAGGGAGAGUUUCUUUCCCCACUCAGGCUUCCAGUCCUGGGAGAAAUCUGGAGUAUAUUGCUAUUUCGGAUUUCUCCCUGGGCUGGAGGCCUUAGUGGGGCCUCUCCAGUAUUAUUAUUAUUAUUAUUAUUAUUAUUAUUAUUAUUAUUAUUAUUAUUAUUAUUAUUAUUAACAUUGAGGAUGGGUGGCCAUCUGUCAGGUGUGCUUUGCUGUGCUUUUGGUGCACAAAGGCAGAAGGGGGUUGGACUAAAUGGCCCAAGGGUCUCUUCCAACCCUCUCCAUUAUUUUAUUAUUAUUAGUAACAUUGAGUCUGGGUGGCCAUCUGUCAGGGGUUCCUUGCUGUGCUUUUGGUGCAGAAAGGCAGAAGGGGGUUGGACUAAACGGCCCAAGGGUUUCUUCCAACCCUCUUUUUUAUUAUUAUUAUUAUUAUUAUUAUUAUUAUUAUUAUUAUUAACAUUGAGGCUGUAUUUGUUUCUUUUUUUAACCUCAAAAUAAAAUAUGUGCCAUGUGCAUAGGCAUUUGUUCAUAGUUUUUUUUAAAAAAACUAUAGUCCGGCCCUCCAACGGUCUGAGGGACUGUUAACUGGCCCCCCGUUUAAAAAGUUUGGGGACCCCUGCCCUAGACGAUUCAGGUUCAGGCUAUUUGGCUGACCACAUCCCCUUGUACGGAUCUGCCCAGGCUGUGAGAUCUUCAGGAGUGGUCCUUCUCUUGGUCCCACCUCCAUCUCAAGCUCAGUUGGUGGGAACGAGAGAGCAGGCCUUCUCUGUGGCUGCCCCUUGACUCUGGAACUCCCUGGCCAAGGAAACCAGAAUGGCCCCGUCCCUGCUGUCCUUCUGGCAAUAGGCUAAAACCUUUUUAUUCAUACAGGCUUUUAAAGAAGGUUUUAAAAACCAUGUCAGGGCCUGCUGUGAUUCUAUAUGUUUUUAUGAUGUUAAUCUGAAUUGUCUUAAUACUAAUGAUGUUUAAUGUUGUUUUAAUAUUAAUAUAUUUUAAAUUGUAUGUUAAUGGUUUUGUGUUAAGCUGCUUUGAGUCUCCUGAAGGAGAGAUAAAGCGGGGUAUAAAUUAUUAUUAUUAUUAUUAUUAUUAUUAUUAUUAUUAUUAUUAUUAUUAUUGUAUGACACAGCAAACAAGAUAGAUAUGCUGGAUUUCGUUUCACAAAAUCACAAGUCGAACACUUCCCAAGUGUCUAGGACUGUGUGAUGUAUUUUCGGAUGAUGCGUGCAGAUCCCAGUAGGAUGGCCUUUUGCAGUUGACAGAUCAUAAUUUUGUCAAUGUCUAUUGUUUCCAAAUGCCGGCUGAGAUCUUUUGGCACGGCACCCAGUGUGCCCAUCACCACUGGGACCACCUGCACUGGUUUCUGCCAGAGUCUUUGAAGUUCAAUCAUGAGGUCCUGAUAGCGGCUGAGCUUUUCCUGUUGUUUUUCAUCAAUGCAACUGUCACCUGGGAUGGCAAAUAUCAAUGAUCCAAACCUUUUUCUUUUCCACAACUGUGAUGUCUGGUGUGUUGUGUUCCAGAACUUUGUCAGUCUGGAUUCGGAAGUCCCACAGUAUCUUUGCGUGCUCAUUUUCCAGUACUUUUGCAGGUUUGUGAUCCCACCAGUUUUUUGCUGCUGGGAGGUGGUACUUGAGGCAUAAGUUCCAAUGAAUCAUUUGGGCCACAUAGUUGUGCCUCUGUUUGUAGUCUGUCUGUGCGAUUUUCUUACAGCAGCUGAGGAUAUGAUCAAUGGUUUCGUUGGUUUCCUUGCAGAGUCUGCAUUUUGGGUCAUCAGCUGAUUUUUCGAUUUUGGCCUUAAUUGCAUUUGUUCUGAUGGCUUGCUCCUGGGCUGCAAGAAUCAGGCCUUCUGUCUCCUUCUUCAGGGUCCCAUUCUUGAGCCAUAGCCAGGUCUUCUCCUUAUUAUUAUUAUUAUUAUUAUUAUUAUUAUCCUGUUCAAAGCAGAUAAUCUGAAUUUUAUAUGGCAGUAUAGAAGGGGCCAAACAGAAGUCAGAUUUUAAGAGAGCUGUGUUCAGGAAAUGUAGGGAAAUACUGAGUUGUGAUCCCAUGGAUAGGAAUGUUUAAAGAGAAGAGAGUUAAUGAUGGAGGGGAGUUUCUUAAAAGCUAGAUCUGAAGGCAUAAAUGCAAACAGUGCCAACAAGGAGAAAAAAACAAAAGAAGCUUAAAGAAACCAGAAUGGGUGUCCAAAGAACUUUCAAUUGAGCUAAGAUUUAAAAAGGGCAUGUACAAGAAAUUGAAAAAGUGGGGAGGGGUCACCAAAGAGGAAUUCAAACAAAUAACCAACAGAUGUAGGAAAAAGGUUUGAAGGCUAAAGUGUAAAAUGAGCUCAAGCUUGCCAGAGAUUAAAAACAAUAAAAGAGGUUCUUUGGUUAUCUCAGUAGAAAAAAGUACAAGGGGUAGGGAAAAGGCAGAAUUGUUCAACACCUUCUUUGCCUCAGUCUUCUCCCAAAAGGAGAUCAGUAUUCAAACAGAGCAAUGUGGAGCUGAUAAGGUAAUAAGAGAAAUGCAACCCAAAAAUGGGUAAAGAAGUCUAGGAAUAGCUGGCUACUCUAAAUGAAUUCACGUCUCCAUGGCCAAAUGAACUACAUCCAAGAGUACUGAAGGAACUAGCAGAAGUAAUUUUAGAACCACUAGCAAUAAUCUUUGAGAAUUCCUGGAGAACAGGAGAAGUCCCAGCAGAUUGGAGGAGGCCAAAUGUGGUCCCUAUCUCCAAGAAGGGGAAAAAGAGGACCCAAAUAAUUACUGUCCGGUCAGCCUGACAUCAAUACUAGGAAAGAUUCUGGAGCAGAUUGUUAAGAAAACAGUCUGUAAUCACUUAAAAAAGAAUGUUGUGAUUACUAAAAGUCAGCAUGGAUUUCUCAAAAACAAGUCAUGCCAGACUAAUCUUAUCUCUUUUUUCAAUGUGGUUAUAAGCUUGGUAGAUGCAGGAAAUGCUGUGGAUGUAGCAUAUCUUGAUUUCAGAAAGGCCAUUUACAUGAUCUUCUUACAAACAAACUACAGUAGAGUCUCACUUAUCCAAGCCUUACUUAUCCAAAUUUCUGGAUUAUCCAAGCCAUUUUUGUAGUCAAUGUUUUCAAUAUAUCAUGAUAUUUUGGUGCUAAAUUCGUAAAUACAAUAAUUACAACAUAACGUUAUUGCAUAUUGAACUGCUUUUUCUGUCAAAUUUGUUGUAAAACAUGAUGUUUUGGUGCUUAAUUUGUAAAAUCAUAACCUAAUUUGAUGUUUAAUAGGCUUUUCCUUAAUCCCUCCUUAUUAUCCAAGAUAUUCGCUUAUCCAAGCAUCUACCAGCCCGUUUAGCUUGGAUAAGUGAUACUCUUCUGUAGUAAAAUGUGGAUUACAUAAUGCUACCAUUUGUAAUUGGUUUGUAACCAAACCCAAAGGUUGCUCAGCAAUGGUUCAUUUUCAUCCUGGAAUGAAGUGACUAUUGGGGUUCCACAAGGUUCUAUCCUUGGCCCAGUGCUGUUCAACAUCUUUAUUAAUGACUUGAAUGAAGGUUUAGAGGGCGUACUUAUCAAGUUUGUAGAUGACACUAAAUUGUGAGGGAUAGCUAAUACUCCAGAAAACAGGAUCAUAAUUCAAAAUGACCUCAACCAAUUAAAGUGCUGGGCCAAAACUAAAAAAAUGAAUUUCAACAAAAAGUUUAGGAUCCUUCACUUAGGCCAAAAAAAAAAAAAAUGCCUGGCUCAACAACAGUACAUGUGAAAAAGAUCUUGGAGUAUUAAUGGGCAACAAGUUGAACAUGAGCAAACAAUGUGAUGCUACAGCUAAAAAAUCAAUGAGAUUUUGGGCUGCAUCAAAAGGAGUAUAGUGUCUAGAUCAGGUAUGCACAAAGUAAGGAUGCCCCUCUCCUGGGCUCCUCAUUUUCCCUGUCCUCUCAGCGUAAGGACGUGGCAGCCCACUACAUUCUUAUGCUGAAAUGACAAGGGAGGAAGAAGGCUUUUAGCUGCCGCAUGUCUCACCUUCCUCCUGGCAUAAGGACGGGGUGAGUAGCCCCGUCUUUAUGACAGGAGUUAGGCUGGAGGAUGACCUAGCCACGCCUCCUCUCCCUCCAAAAAGGACAGGGGAGGAAGACACAUGGCAGCUGAGAACCACCAUGUGUCUUGCCCUUCUCCUGGCAUAAGGAUGGGCUGAGCAACCUCAUGCUUAUACUGGAAAGACAGUUGGAUGACGUCCUGUCCCAGUCCCCUUCCUAACUGUAUGAGCUGUUAAACAGUGGAACUCUCUGUCUUGGAGUGUGGUGGAAGCUCCUUCUUUGGAGGCUUUUAAACAGAGGCUGGAUGGCCAUCUGACAGGGGUGCUUUGAUUGUGCUCUUCCUGCAUGGCAAGAGGUUGGUCUAGAUGGCUCAUGUGGUCUCUUCCAGCUAUAUUAUUCUAUGAUUCUAUAAAUAAGAUGACCACAAUACCAUGGAAAGCAUUCUUUCUGCAAUAGAAUGUGUGACAAAAUGUUCAUUUCAAUUUUCUCUUCUGUUUUCCUUUCUUUUGCUUUCAGUGACUCGCAAUAUGGUCUCUUUUUCCUUGUAAUUUUACUUUAAAUUAGUGAUGAGCAGAGUUUCUAGGUAUUACUGCAGUUCCUUGAAAUAUUCCUCAUUGCCUAUGUUGGCUAUGACUGAUGGGUGCUGCAGUCCAACAGCACCUGGCAGGCUAUACCUUGCCAAUCCUUAAACAGGAAUGGCACCCGAGCAGCUCAAGGAUGAGAAAGGAUGUAAAUGGCAAUCUGGUGCUGAAUGUAGAAUUUAUUGCAAAUGAGAAUUGGGCCUUUAUAUCUUUAAAAAAAAAAUCUCAAGGCCACAGUAUGAAUAAAGUGUGGUAGGUAUUAAAAACAUGAAGUGGAAAUGAGACAAACACAUAUUUGAUAGCAAACCUGCCUUACACCAGAGAGCUGUGAUUGAUGACCACAGCUUCCUUUUGAUGCGCUUACAAAUCUGCCACCACCCAUGUAUUAGGUAAGCUGAUUCUCUGAACUCCCAGUGUUUUUAAACAAUUCAUUCAGUUUAUUCUCAAGCUCUGGAAAUAUUUUCCUGUAGCUUUCUUGCGAUACUGCUCAUUUUCUCUUCAUUUCAGUAACUGCCAUUUCAUCAGCUACACAUACUGAAUUCUUUAAAAGUUUCUUCCCAGACUCAGAGCAGGAAAGUAAAGAGUAUGACAUCAAGCAUGUUAAAUAUACCUGCUUUUUUAAAAAAUAUACAUCUUCCUUCAAAAUUUGAUAAAACAGCAAUAUGAUAAGAAUGAGAAGAUUCUUAAGUUAUCACUCGGGGUCUUGCUGACAGAGAGUCUGAGCCUGUGUUACAAGCAGAGAUGUUGUAGCGAAGCUUAACAUUAGUCGUUUUUACUAACACAACAUUAAUGACUUUCAGUCAUUAUUGACUUGGGCUUUGUUUGUAGUGGCAGACCUACAGGUGAAAGGCUCCACAUCUCAUUUUCAGUCCCUUGAGAGAUCUACUCCUCCACAAUUUAAUUUGAUGGAAUGCAAUUAUUGGCCAGUUGAUUUUCAUUGAUUGUGCUAUGGGCCAUAAACAUUAUAACGCUCCUGUAGCUGCCAACCGCCUAGUCCUUUGGGAUGCUUCCUGGUCAGAAUCCCAAACAGCCAAGCAGUCAUUUGUACACAUGGCAUCGUCCUGGAAAAUGGUUCUCUGUGCAAUUAUGUAAGAGUUUAAUAUGUGUGCUGACAUGCCAGCUAGUAAAGGAGGGAAGGCCCAAAUCCAGAGGCAAAAGAAACACUGUCCAUUUGUAUCAACUUGUUGCAAAAAAGUUUUCUCUGACAUGUACAAUAUCAAAAGUAUAGCUUCAUUCAAACAGAGAGUCAUUUUGCAUCAUCAUCAACAUCUGUAGCAGCAUAAUUCCACUUUUUCCCAAGUUUGGGACAUAAGACAGUUUACAAAAGUUUAAACAAACACACCUCAAAAUUUUCAUCAUACAAAAAAUAAAAGUAUAACUAAACUGCGGUCUUUUCUUUCUCCCUCCCCCCAUUUUUUCUCUUGGAGUCUUGUUUUUAGCCUGUUCUUGGGGUUAUUUGGGGUGCUGAUUCAGAAAAUUGCAUUGGAUAGACCACAUCAGCUCUAGCUUCUUAGAUACGGGUAUCAUGAUUUUCUGUUUGCAAGCAGAUGAGCAGUUGGUAUAUGGUUUGUCUUUCUGUGCAGGAAUCAGCAUUUUCUUUGUAGAAAGUAGCAUGGACUAAAGAAGUAUGAAGAGCCUGCUGUUCUAUUCUGGAUUUAAAAAUAAAAUAAAACAAAACAUAAUUUAUGAUCUCUUUAAUCUGAACAGAGGGGCAAUGUGAUGCUUGAUUAAUGGACAGUCCUGCUUGGGAGUAUGAUGUGGCCCACUCAGCUAAAUCUUCUGCUCACACCUUUUAGGGUUUUUAAAGCACAUGUACUAGCAGCUUGAGCAAACUAUAUCUAAAUUACUGAGUAAAAAUAAAAGCUUUCCCACUGUCCUCCCCCACACCUCUGGAAAUAUAACAUAAUUCUUUAUUGGCUUGGCUCCUUUUUCUAGAAACGAUUCCAUUUCCAAGCCUGGUCUUCCUUUAUUGACAGUCUUGGCAAUGAGAAUGAAAGAGGCAAUUGAGGCAGCAGCUGCUCUGGUGAGGUUAACUGUCCACCAGGAACUGGGAUCCCUUGUUGAUGCUGAUAUGUGAGCAACACUGUCACACCAUUCUUAAGAAUCAGAUUGAUGCCCAAGUCCCUGGGGAAAUUCGCUGCUAACAGUGUUUGACAUAGUGACCUAUUAAGGGUUUGCUUAGGGCACUUUUCUCUUUCUUUAAAGAUAUUUAGCUCCAUGUAGCAUGGGACAGGUUGUUAAGUGCAAUUAGGGAGCUGAAAUGGAAUCUACUCUCAUUGGCAAAGUUGCCAUUCCUAAAGGCUGACAAAACAUUUAGGCUCUGUCAUCUUAACCUUAACGGUGGAAGAUGUUCUUCACGUAAAUGAUACUUGACUGCUUAUAUACAGUCUGACAAGAAUUGCCAUAGCAUUGCAGUCCAUCAUGAUGACAGCAAAGACCAAUUUUUGUUGAAAAUCCUACUCAUGUGCUUUCUCAAUGUUUUGGCAAUGGGAAGGGAAGUUCAGCUGUCAGUAGUAUUCCAUGAGCAGAAAAAUUAGAACUUCCCUGAAGGUGAAUAUUUCUUGGGCAGGAGCAUUGUGCAGAUCUUUUAUGUGUACUACAUAAUUAUUUAAGCUGUGGAUAGAUCCAUGGGAUCCCACAUUGCAGGCAAUUUCUGAAGAUAUGUCAGCCACCAAAAAACUUCGGUAGCUAAAUGCUUUCAUGACUGGGAUCACUGGGUUGUUGUGCAUUUCCUGGGCUGUAUGGCAAUGUUCCAGAAGCGUUCUCUCUUGACGUUUCACCCACAUCUAUGACAGGCAUCCUCAGAGGUUGUGAGGUAUAUUGGAACACAAAGCAAGGGAAGUUUAUAUAUCUGAGGAAGGUUCAGGGUGGGGGAAAGGACUCUUGUCUGUUGGAGGCCAGUGUGAAUGUUGUAAUUAAUCACCUUGAUUAGCAUUAAUAGCCUUGCAAGCUUCAUUCCUGCCCGGGGGAAUCCUUCGUUUGGAGGUGUUAGUUGCCCCUGAUUGAUUAAAUCAGUGGGCCUAUGCUUCUGUUCUAUGGAAAUGACAUGGCAAAAUGGGAUUGGGACUGAUACCAUAGUAGAUGUUUUACCCUUUUUAUUAGAAAGUUGUUAAAUUGGUGCACGCUGCUGUGUACAAAGAUUCAGUUUUAUGUAGGUACAGAAAGCUAUUUGUGAUAAAGUCUUAAUGAUAAAGCAAUCCAAUAGUUACAUUGUAUUUUGAUAAUUUAGAUAGGCAUAUUUAAUAUGUAAGUGUGUUUUAAGUGAUACAUCUUAAUUUCAGACCAUCACUUCAUGUUUAUGUAUCACUGUUUGCAAUAUUGCAGUGGGGAUCUGGUGUGGUAGUAUAUACCAUACCAGAUCACCACUGCAGUAUUGCAAACAGUUAUAGAUAUAGACAUGAAACACAUUUAAAACACACACUUAAAACACAUUUAAAUAUUAAAUAUCUGACUUUCGGAAAUCUUAGGCCCAAACCAUCAGGGUUUUCAUGGUCAGAUUGUGUUGUCACCAUUGUUUUCCUCUGAGGCUGAGAAGGAAAGAUGGGAGAGAAGGGGGGAGAGGAGAGAAAGAGAGGAAUUACAAAAAGAAAGGGAGAGAGAAGGAGAGGCGGCGUCAGGGAGGGAGAGAGAAAGAAGGAAGGAAGAAGAGAAGGUCACAAGAAAAAGAGAAGAAGAGAGGAAGAAAGAAGGAAAGAUUAAAAACAAAAGGAAAGAAGGAGAGAGGAGGAAGAAAAGAAGAGAGGUAAAAGGGAGAGAAAGAGGAAAGAAAUAAAGGGAAGAGAGGAAGGGGCACGAGAGAGAGAAAAAGGAAAGGAGAGGAAGAAAAAAGCAAGCGAGAAGGAGGGUUAGCAAGAGAAAGGGAAAAAGAAAAGGAAGGAGAGGAAGAAAGAAGGAGAGAUAAAAAAGGAGAAGGGGAGAGAGAAAAAGAAAAUGAGGGACGGAUAGAAAAAAGGGAAAGAGCAGGAGAGGGAGGAAAGAAGGGUAAGAGAAAGAAAGAGAAAAGGACAGAUAGAAAGGGAGGUGAAAAAGGCAAGGAGAUAGAAGAGUAAGGGAAUUAUCAAUAGAAAAGGGAAGGAUAGAAGAACAGAUGAGAAGGGAGGGAGAGAAGGGGUAGAAAGAAUGGAAAGGAAAGGAGGUGGGAGGAAGACAGAAAGAAAGGAUUGAAAAUAGAAGGAGAAAGGAGGGGAAAGAGGGAGGCAAGAGAAAGAAAAGGGGAAAGAGAAGGAAAGGAGGAGAAAGAAGAGAAGAGAAAGAAGGAGGAGAAAAGAAAGGAAUAUUAAAAAAGAGGAGAAAGGGAGAGAAAAAAGAGGGUGAAAGAGAGAAGCAAGGAAGGAAGGAAGGAAGGAAGGAAGGAAGGAAGGAAGGAAGAGGGGGAGAAAGAGAGAAAGAAAACAAAAGGGAUAAAACAAAAGAAGGAGAGGGGAGAAAGGGCAAGAAAGAAAAAGAGAAGGAAAAGGGGAGAAAAGGAAAGGGGGAGAAAGAGGGUGGAGGGCACACACACCUCUGCCUCCAAACUCCACCCCAUGACUCUUCUCAGCCCUACCCCUCCAGAGAGGAAGAGGAGGAGGAGGAGCCCCUUUUCGGACCCAAAGGAGGCGAAGCGGUGACCCCCGUGGGCAGUUGUUUGACCCCCAAAGGGGGUCCCACAAGUUGAGAACCACUGUUCUGCGACCCACAGGUUGAGAACCUCUGUUCUAGAGCUUCUAUUUUCAAAUGUGAUUGCCCUUUCUGUUGCGUGGGCAUCAUUAACCAUUAAUUGGUUCUGAGGUUUUUUAUCAUUGAGAGGUAAAAUAAAAUCUAGCUAGAUAUGAAGUCUGCAGUAACUUUUACAUAUAAAUAAUACAAAAUUUUAAAAAAUGUAUUAGAUAAUGUCCUUGGAAUGUUUUUAAUGGAUAAAGCUAUUACUGCAAACAGCCUGGGAAUUCCUCUCUCCACCUAUAUUUUCAAGAGCAAACAAGUUCCUUUAUAAUGUAGUUUUCCUUUCCCCAAAUCAGAUAGUUUGUUCAAACAACUAUAGGGAAAUGUAUGCUUGGUACUAGUUUUUCCUCUUUGAUCCUCUUUUCUUGCUUGCUUUCUCUUUAAGAACUGAUUUGGUGUGGGAUAAGCUGCUGCUAGCCUCUGUAGAUUUGUUGCACACAUUUGCUCAGUAAUCUUCAUACUUGCUGUUCUUCUCUCUGUUAUGUGAUUGAUGGUAUAUCUUACAGUUGAAGUCUAAAAGCAGCCUAAAAAUAAAUGGCAAAGUGAUCGACUAUCUGCAGUAGGAUUCUGCUUGAAGAGUUAAAGUAAUUUUAAAAGUAAAAUUGAAAUUGCUUAAUAGCUAUUGUUUGUCCUUGAUGCUGAGAGAUGUGUUUAGGUAUAUAGUUUGGAGAUUUAUAUCUGAAAGAAGGAGGUCACCUGCUGUGUACCUGAAAUAACUGACGGGCCUCUUUAGUGGGUUUCUACAAAAUGCUCUUCUCUCUUGCAGUUCUUUUUGGUCUGCUGUACAUUGCAACCCACCUCUGCAGCCAUAUUCCUUCUAUUUUUUCCUUUCUAUCAUCUCUCUACAUCCCAUGUUAUGGUUGAGCCUUAUGGCUCCAAUACUGGGAGACGUGGUCGUAAGACUCCUCGAGAGUCAGACUCUCUUGAGGAGCGAGAGAGGAAACGGCUGCGGGAUAUCUUUGCAGAACCAUCUGACGAAGACUCCUUUGAGGGUUUCACUGAGAGAAUGGAGGAAGAGGUGGUUAGCUCAGAGGAGGAUGACAUGGAAUGGACUCGUGUGAGAGAGGAUUUAGGGGUGUCCUGGUAAUGAUAGCAUGGGAAGCGACUGGUGGGUUGCAGGAUCGGACCCGUGGACGAGUUGGAGGGAUGGGACGGGAUCCACAGCUGGGGAUGCUGUGGGGCGUAGUCAAAGAUGUUUUAGUUCUGAUGAGGAUGAUGAUGAUGAGGCACCUGGAAUUAGGGUUACACCUGAUAGCGAUGAGGAGUUGUAACUGGCAUAAAAUGGGGUCUUGAAUCCAGGGCUAAUUGCGUUGGGCAAGGUAAUCUGGACGGACGCUUGGGAUCUUGUUUGGGAAAUUCCUGAAGACGGGUGUGUUUCGUUUGCUGAAUACCUUGGACCUCCGUCGUCUUCUUGACGGACAUUGUUUACCUACUCGGAAUUGACGCUGGACUGGCUGACUGACUACGACCUGGGACUAUCCUUUCUUGACUAUCGUUGGAAUUCGUGGAAUCUAAGACGCCUGCACCUGGUAAUCGACCUCAGACCGGAUUGGGACCCCGCUGACGCUGCAACCCUUGAUUGAUGUGUUUGGACCCGGAGUUCGCCCGCUGCACGGAGGAGUAACAACUUAGUUGCUCAACCACAGCUGUUGAGUAGCAGAGAGGAAUCUGCUGCCAGUGUUUAUGUUCUAUUGAAUCUUUGUUUACUAGCUUUUGUUUGUUUAUAGUCUCAGGCUGAAGUAAGCAUUUUUGGUUUAACUCGGAUUAAACUCCUGUUUAAUCCGGUUUAUCUUUUGAACCAUUUUUGUGUGACUUUUCUUAUUGAAGGCGAGUGUUUGCCUAGCUCUUUGUUUUUUACGAGCAUUUUUGGUUCUGUAUCCUUAAUAAACUGUGUUGAAUCUUAUCUACUGGCGUUCUGUCCUUGACAUCCCAUUUGCAAAUUUCAUAGUUUGGAUAUUUGUGUCUCUGGUAAUAAUAAUAAUAAUAACAAUAAUAAUAAUAGAAAAAACUUUAUUUGUAUUCCGCCCUAUCUCCCCAAGGGGACUCAGGACGGAUUCCAACAUACAAUGGCAAACAUUCAAUGCCUCCGUAAACAAACAAAUGCUGACAUAAAAAUCCCAGAGAAACCCCGCAUAUUAAAAUAACAUUAAAACCUAACAUCAAUUUAAAGUCUAACAUCAGUAAAUUAAACCUAACAUCAAUAAAUUAAACUACAUGUAGUCAAACAAAAUUAUAUAAAAACAUCAAAUACAAACAAACAUCCACAUUAAUUUACAACAGCCAACUAGAGUUCACAGUGUGGGUUGGUUAGGUGGUCAAAUGAUGACCAUUGGACUGGAGUGGACUAGGAAGGUCCAAAUACAAUACAGUUCUCAGCCAAGGGUCCGGUAGUGAUCUCUCUUUAUCUAAUCCUCCUCCUCUCCAUAUGCUAGUGAGCAUAAAUAGGUCUUCAGUUGUUUUUUGAAGGAGAGGAGGGAAGAGGCCAGCUUUAUUGGUACCUGUGAUGACUCAUGGGCCUUGUAGUCCUGUUCCUAGUACUAUUGUGGCAGACGAAGAGGAAAACAUGGGAUUUUCGCCGGUUCAGCAAGAACCGGAGCCUCUUCACCUGCAGGAUGUUGAUGUUUGUCCACAAGAAUUCAGCCAAACAGGCCUUGGGCAGAACUCCCCCCCGUUUUCCAGGAGGGAAAAUUAUUCUAAAGAUAGGGGAGCCAGGGAGGCUAAUCGCAGAAGCCUGAGAAUCGCUGCCAAACAAAUGGCUGAUUAGGCCUGCUUCCCUUGGGAAAUUCUAAGGAGUCAUGCAUCUGGACAGAGUUGGGUUUCGCUUCUCGUUCUCUAGGGAAAGUGUUCUGUUGGUGGGAAAACGAGACCCAAUAUAGGUGCUUAGCGCGAGGGAUUCUUUGCGGAGUCAAUUGAUCAGCUUGAGGAGAGAGAUCGUGUGUGGACUUCGUAAUCCCAGUUCCUUGCUUCCCGGAUCAAGUUUCAAGCCUUGCCUUGUCUCACGUUCCUACCACGGACUAUGUUUCAUGCUUCAUGUUCGUCUGGCCUCCAGUCAAGGAUCUAGUCGAGAAUCAAGUUUAUUCCAGCCUUAUUGUCAAGCUUCAUUGGACUUUAAAGACUCUGUUAUUUCCCCACACUAUUGCUUGGCAAAGUGUGUGUUUUGGUCAAGUGGAUUAAAACUUUGAACUCUAAUAUCUUAUAUUGGACAAUACAUUUCUGGACUAUAUUUGACCUUAUCUGAAAGGUCUGCUUCUGAACUAUAUUCUUCACUUGUUUUUAUUGAUUUUAUAUAUUUCUUUAAUAAAGAUAUUAGAUAGAUUCUGGCCUCUGUGUAAGGUUUUUGGUGCUCUGCAGCCUGGGUACUGACAGUACCACUACUACUGGUAAUUGCUAUCAUAAAAUUACAGAAUGGUUGAAUCAGAGCAUCAGUGGUAACUCUAAGGGGCAUCUAUUCCAACCCCCUGCCAUGCAGAAAUGCACGACUAAAGCAAUCCCAAUAGGUGGCCAUCUAGGUGGCCUAUUUUAAAAUAGGUGGCAAAUUUUAAAAAUUUACUAAAAGAAGGAGAGUCACAUUCUGAGGCAGUCUGUUCUUCCUUAGAGCAGCUCUGCAAUGAAGAAGUUAUUUCAGAAAGAAUUUUUUUAUCUAUUGGUUUGUGCCCUAGGAAUAGCAGAAAACAGGUUUUCUCCAUCUUUCACAUGACAUUUCUUCAGAUAUUUAAAGAUGGCUAUCUUAUCACCUCUCAGUCUUCUCCGAGUUAAACCCCAGAUGCCAUUAUAUAUGAACUCCCAUCAACCCAAACUACAAGAUUAGUGAACAGAAAUGAGUGGUAUUGCAGUUCAACAUUUUGAGAAUUAAUUUGUUGGGCUUACUAUGAAUUAAUAUAUUAUGAGAAGAGUAUAAUUAUACCUAAAUGUGUACAAUUACCAGCAACUCCAACAUGUUAUAAAGUGAGGAUCAAGGGAAAUGCCUGUUGGCCUGCACCUCACAAGCUUGUGAUGGGUUACAUGCAAUCUUCUCGUGGCUGGGGUGGUAUGGCGGACAAUAUAGAAAAAGUACUUAUUGUUGAACACUUCCAUAAGGGCAAGAAUACAUUUUUAAAAUUUUAUAGCAACAACUGCUACCAAACAAUGCCAUGCACACCCAGAGAAAAGAAUGGAGUGUUUGAUCACAAAUUCUACUGAAUUGCAGGCCCUAAAGUUCAUUAUGUACAUAGUAACAUCGUUGAAUACCAAAACAAUAUUUUGCAGGAUAAGGUAGUUCCAUCAUGCUAUUUUUCUCUCUGCUGUUUGCUCUAUGCUUGAAAUUACUUUUUAAAAUAAAUGUUCCAAUUGAUUUUUAUGUGAAUGAAGAUAAAUAAGGUUGAAAUGAAGCUAAAAUAAUAGAAAAUAGAAGAUAUUAGUCAUUUGGGCUACUUGCCUGUCAAUAUGUUGCUUGAUUUGGUUCAUUAGUUAAGAAAAUGGGGGUUUAUACUGCAGUAGUUUGUAGAAAUUUGAGAGAAAGGGACUGAGGGGAAAAGAAUAAAAUCCUUGAUUUCUGAACUCAGUUAACAUGUGUUUGGUAAGCUUAAGUACCAUAUACUAAUGAUGGUAUUUUGUUCAUGUUAGUUUAUUCUUUUCUUGUAGGUAAACUUUCAACAUUUAUGUUGACAAUUGGAGGAGGAAAAUUCACAUGGAGAUAAAUGCUUGGUAGAGAUCAUUAUGCUUUACUUGUAUGAGACUCCAGAUUCAAUCUUAACAUGGUUAACUGAUGUGUACAGUUGAGCAUGUCUAUGGAUUCUGCAUCCACAGAUUCAGCCUUCCAUGGCUUGAAAAUAUUUCUAAAAGCAAAGCCUGAUUUGGCUAUUUUAUGUGAAGGAUAGCUUUUUUACUAUGCCAUUGUUCGUAAUGGGACUUCAGCAUCCACAGAUUUUAAUAUUCAUAUGGAGUCCUGGCACCAAACUGCAAUGGAUGCCAAGGGUACACUUCAUUGGGAAACAGAGCUGUGAGGAGGAAGUUUCCUUUGAGGACUUAAAGAAAGACUGCCUGGCUUUCAAAUGGUCUGAACCAAUCAGAUGUGUUUUGACCAGAUAUAGAAAUGUAUUUGAUUUCAAACAAGAUCUGUUUGAGAAAUCUGUAUAUGUUGAGCUGUUCAUUAAUUUUGGUGCUGCUUUAUGAUAAAUAGUGACCAUGAGGUCAUGAGUUCGAGGCCAGCUCGGAGCCUGCAUUUGUCUUUGUCUUUGUUCUAUGUUAAGGCAUUGAAUGUUUGCUUUAUAUGUGUAAUGUGAUCUGCCCUGAGUCCCCUUCGGGGUGAGAAGGGCGGAAUAUAAAUACGGUAAAUAAAUAAAUAAAUAAAUAAUAGUGAUGCCCUGUCCUCUAGAACUGAUGGAAAGAACAAGGAUUCCCUCACUCUUUUUGUCAUCUGGUUGAAGGAUUUAGUUCAUAUGAGCAUUUUCUAGUGUGAUUUAUUUAAUAUUUUUUUAUUUCAGUCACAAAUAUUUAUCUACCUGUUUCUUUUAUUUAUUACCUUUCCCCCUUGGUUUUUGCCUUAAAAACACCCUCAGAACAACCUUCUUAGUUUUCUCACUCCUAUUCUGUCUUUGCAGCAACAUUGUGUAAUAGAGAGGACUGAGGGAUACUGCAACAGAGCUUUUUGUUGCUGCUGUUGGACUACUUGUCCCAGAACAUCCCAGUCAGCCAGGCUGUGGGUCACCUUAUUAGAAGGUAGAAAAGCUAAAUUUGCACAAGUACUUCUCCAGGUUUUGAGUGCAACUGGCCCAAUGUAAGCUUUAUGUUUUGUAACUUUACAUUGGAUUAUAACUCGAGAAAACAGAGCUCAAAUCUCCAUUUGACCAUGAAAACCAUGGUUGACCUUAAGCAAAUGGCACUCUCUCGGCCUCAAAGGAAGGCAAUGGCAAACCACUUCUUAACAAUUUUUGCCAAGAAAACCCUGUGAUGGGUCACCAUAGAUUUGAAAUAGCUGAAAGGGAGCUUCUGGGGUGAGCACUGGUCCUCCUGGCACUGUAGCAACAACUGCAAAGCAGAGUUAGACCAGUGGUUCUCAACCACUGGUCUAUGGGUCCCCUGCUGUUUUUGGCCUUCAACUCCCAGAAAUCCUAACAGCUGGUAAACUGACUGGGAUUUCUGGGAGUUGUAGGCCAAAACACCUGGAGACCCACAGGUUGAGAUCCACUGAGUUAGACUAUGUUGACUAAAAUUGCCCCUGCAUCAGUGUCACAGGUAGACUAAAAUGUCUUUUGGAGAUAUCUGCUGAAAUUAUAGGGUUUCUAAUAUAUUUGUGGCAGUUUGUUUGGCUGCCAGAAUGGGAGUCAGCAUUUACUGCCUGAAACAAUUGUUCUACUUUUUUAAAGGUAGAGCAACCUUCUUGAUUUUACUUUCACUUAAAUGGGUUUUCAAUUGAAACAGAAGCUGGGUUAUUUUAUAGGGUAAUAUGAAGUAUGUUCCAAGUCAAAUAAUGGAUUUUACUCAAAAUGGCAGUACACGGACUCAAAUUGAUCUGCCAGCUAAUGAUUGCUGGUCCAUGUUGAAUUUCUAACAAAGUAAGUGAUAGUUGUAGCCAAUUGACUGGCUCCUGGCACAUUGAAGAAGAAAACAUUCUGCCCCUCAAUAUCAGAUAAGCUAAGAAGCACUGCUUCAUGGAAUUUACAUAAAAUAUGACAUCACAGGUUGUUAUCCAAUAACAUUUGAAAAGUUGUGUUGUCAAAUAUGAAUUUCCAAGGGCUUUGAUUUCUCUGUUGAAGCUACUGUCUUAAUCUGAUGUCAUUCGAGACACCAGAUUAUGUCUAAAUGUCUGGUCGAAGGCUCAUUUUCUAGGCAGUAUUCCCUCCUAUUCAACCUUAUCUUGGCUGAUAAAAAAUUAUUUAUUUGAACAGGUAUUUUGAAAUGUAGUGUUUAUAGCAAGAGGAUUUUAAUAGUGUGCAGUGCUUUUUUCUUCCCUGCCUUUUUAAUAAUAAGAUCUUGUCAAUCUAGAAUGUGAUCAUCAAUCUUAAAUAUAUACACCAUUUAUUCUUACUGUAUAUACACCCAAUAUUAUCUCCUGAGGUUCAUAGUAGGAGAGGAGAAAGCAAUAAUAUAUUCAGAAAGAUGGGUCCUUUAAUCAGUGCAUUAAAUUUGUGAUCAGUAGGAUGGAAGAUGAAGAACUCUUGCUGAAGUCUUUUGGAUGGCUGACUGACAGAUCAAUGCUGAGAUCGGUAAGGA